This 158-nucleotide microRNA precursor is filed under the name Pelobates cultripes (western spadefoot toad). The record is from RNAcentral. Lineage: Eukaryota; Metazoa; Chordata; Amphibia; Anura; Pelobatidae.
GCAGACACAGUCCAGCUAAUCAGCAGCAGACCCUCCCUCCCAGACCCUCCCUCCCUCCUGGACAGCAUCCAUUUUGAAGCUGCAUUCUUAGUGAGCUGUCCAGGACGUGGGAGGGUCUGGGAGGGAGGGUCUGCUGCUGAUUGGCUGGAAUGUGUCUG